Molecule: long non-coding RNA, 1499 nt
Organism: Bos taurus (domestic cattle)
Lineage: Eukaryota; Metazoa; Chordata; Mammalia; Artiodactyla; Bovidae
Source: Ensembl
AUUCGGAGGUGAGAAGUUCAAGUUCAAAGGUAAAAAACAUUCAGAUUCCUGUGAGACCUUUCUUCCUGGCUUGCAGUUGGCCACGUUCUUGCUGUGUCUUCUUGUGGACUUUUCUCUGCAGAAACAGAGAUAUCUUUCUUUUCAUAUAGGGACACCAGUUGCAUUGCAUGAGGGCUCCAUUCUUAUGAAUUCAUUGUAACCCUAAUUACAUCUUUAACAUCUUUUUCUACAAUACCAUCACAUGGGGGUUAGAGAUUCAACACAUGAAUUUGAGGAGAGAAUACAAUUCAGUCCAGAAAGAAGAUAAAAAGUAAAUGCCUGAUUUUAUGCCUAGAGCAUAAAUCUGUUAUCAGAACAGGAAAAGAAAACAGAAAUACUAAUUUAUAGGUCAAUGUGGAGAAGGCAAUGACACCCCACUCCAGUACUCUUGCCUGGAAAACCCCAUGGAUGGAGGAGCCUGGUAGGCUGCAGUCCAUGGGGUUGCUUAGAGUCGGACACGACUGAGCGACUUCACUUUCAGGUAUUGGAGAAGGAAAUGGCAAGAACACUGGAGUGAGAGGGAUCGAACCUAUGUCUCUUAUGUCUCCUGCGUUGGCAGGCAGGUGCUUUAUUACUGGCAUCACCUGAGAAGCCUGAAGGUUUUAGCUCAAGGAAUAACAAACAGAAAGAGGCAUAACCAUCAGGAAGGAAGAAAUAACAGUGUGGUUUUCAAAUGACGUGAUUUCUAUCUAUAAAAAAUCUAGGGGUGUCAACUGACAAACUGUCAGUUCCAAUAAGGUAAUUCAAUCAGACCACCAGACACAAGAUGAAUAAGAAACAGUAGCAUUUUUAGAUGGCCGUAACCAAUUACAGAGCUGUUACAGAAAAAAGCUAUAUGCAACAGCAGAAUUUUAAUAUCUGUAAGAAUAAAUCUAAUACAAUAAGUGGAAGAUCUAUAUAGGGAAAUCUGUAAAUUAUUACUGGAUGAGUUUGAAGAAAAUUUAAUAAAUAGGGAAAUAAUCCCAAACUUCAUUUCUAAACUCAGUGAAUAACAAUCAAGUUCUCAACUAAUACAUUUCAUAGAAAUUAACUAUCUGAUUUUAAGAUUCAUAUGGAGCCAAAAAUGUGCAUAAAUAUCCUAGACAUUGAUAAAAAAGGAGAUGCGACUGUUUCACAGUUAUAAAAAUAUUACAAAUUUGCUGUGCCAGAUGUUGUCAGUGGUCUUCCCAGUAUACAUUCUUCCCUCUGUUCUACUAACACAAUGCUAAAUUUAUCUGGGGUGGUAAAAUUCUCAAUUUCACAUGCUACUUUUGAGAGAAUUAUUUCCUAGGCAGGUUGAUAAGAAGUCUAGGGGUCCCCAAGGAAAGAGGGGUCUGGAAUUCUCCAGGAGGAAGAAAGGAAAAACUUUUUUCCCCUCUACAUUCCUUAGGAUUAUAUAACAAUAAUGUAUCCUGCCUGAGGACAGUCUCUGGAUUAAACCUUCUGUCUAAUCUUGUUAUCUUAAAAUGUAAAUUAUGGGA